Molecule: unclassified non-coding RNA, 5171 nt
Filed under: Monomorium pharaonis (pharaoh ant)
Lineage: Eukaryota; Metazoa; Arthropoda; Insecta; Hymenoptera; Formicidae
Description: probable phosphorylase b kinase regulatory subunit beta, transcript variant X1
Source: RNAcentral
AAGAAAAAGAACGAACUUUUCUAUUUAGUUAUAACCAAUAUAACCUUAUGACUUUGAAAUUCAAGGACAUCAAACUUAACAAGGUGCGUAGAUUGUUUAUUAUUGUUUAGGUGAAUAUUAAAUAUAAAAUUAAAUUUUUAAUUACCUUACUUUAAUAAAAUAUAACAAUAUAGUUAGAAUAUAUAAUUAUUAAAAAGAUGUAUUCUGAAAUACACAUUGAUAACGUCAAAAUUAAUAAUAUAACUGAGUCAGUCAAUGCAAAAAGGGCAUAUUUUUUUUUAAAGUUACUUUUUUUGCUUAUUAAAGUUGAAAUGGGUAAACAUGUUAGGUAUAAAUAUGGCACUUUUUUGUCCUAAGCUCUUUUAGGGCUGAUGGUUCCAACUUCAUGGUAAAUUUACUCGUGAGAUAAACGUGUCCAUUUUUACUUUUCUUUUUAAAUAAGAAAAGACAGGUAACAAGUACCUGUGGGAUAAAGCUUCCCAUUGAAUCGAAACAAUUUGCCUUUAAGGAUUUAAAGUAGAUGUUGAAAAUAAUCAAUUAAUUCAGAAAGGUGCUAUUAAUUCAAGGCUAAUCUAUCUUUUUUCCUAUUUAACAUCAUUUUUUUAUUUUAAUGUUAAGUUCUAUAAUUUUCAGGCAACAUGAUAAUGCAUUUAUCUUUCUUUAUUUGCACGACUUUAUCUUUGAUCAUAUAAAAGUUGAUAUAUACAUAUAUAUGCAUCUUUUAUUUAAUUUUAUGUUUAUUACAUUUGUUGUAUGAACACUUUAAAGUUAUUAAUUAUGUAUUUACUAUUUAUUUGUUAAAUAUAUAAUUGCGUCUUAUGAAGAUAAUGUAUGUGUACAGUCAAAACUUUUGUUCCGCUAUAUAAUAUUAAUUUUAUAAAUUGACAUAUUAAAUUUAUUGAAUGUUUUCUAUAUUUAACUUGUGUUUGGCUUUUUUGAUAAUAUAUUCUUUAAUUUACUUUUUUAUCGUAUAAUAUGUAAGUUUUAAAAUUUUUGUCUUGGAUUUUUUUUCAAUACAAGGUUGAGAAAGACUUGGUUUUCUUGACGAUUUUUUGCAUCAAAGAUGUUAUUGUAAUUUAAGUACAGGAUUGAAAUUUUUCAAAAUAAAAUAAAAAUCUGUAUUGUGUUAUAAAAUGAAUGUUUUGAUUUUGAUAUUAACAUUGAGUACAGAAGAUAAGUCUAAAUUUGAAAUUUAUGUUUAUUAUUUAAUGCACAAGCAUUGAUUUAAUGCAUAGUACUGAUUGUUGUAAAAAGUUGGAAAGUUUCCUUAAAGUUUUUGAGUUUUCCAAAUUUUAUGUACAACAAUUCUCAGAGAAUUUUGCAAGUUAUAAAAUGUUGCAAUAGAAAUGUUUUUUUAAUAUCUAUGGAGUAUUUUUGAAAACACCCCGAACCAAAAGUCAUUAUGACAUUAAAAUAAUAUUGGUUCCAAAAUGAUUAUUAAAAGUAAAUUUUUUAUCCAUCACAUUUCAUCUUUAUGUUAUUUUAACGUUACUGUGACUUGUUCUUGGGUAUAGCUUGUCAUAAUAAACAAAACAAUAAAUUGAUAUAACUGUAUUUUGUACAAUUGAACUAUUGGAUGAUAUUUAUACUAAUGGAUUGGGUAGUGUAGUAGUAUGUUAAAUAGUAUAUAAUAUUUGCUUGAGUCUUUUAAAAAAAAACUAGAUGUUAUUUGAAUAUCAACUUUAAGUUUUUAUUUUAUAUAAGAUGCAAGUCCAGUGAUUCAAAUUUUGCGCCUCUACUAAGUGAAAUCUAGCAUGAAAAAUUUAAUGUUUUUAAAUAAAAACAUUAAAUUUUUUUUUAAAUAAAAAUCAACUUUUUUAAGAAUCUUUUUCUGUUAUUUAUUGUAUUUCUUUUUUUAAAGAUAAUAGGUGAGCAGCAUUACAUACAAUCGUUGAGUUAUUAUUUUGACUCAUAAUAUUUUAAUAACAUUAAAAUAUAAACAUUUUGAUAAAAUGUAAACAUUUUUUUUAAUUUAAAUUGUAUCAUACUUUAUUUUUAAAUUAUUAUAUUUGAACUUAAACUCAAAACAAAAUCUUUACACUAUUUUAGAUUAUAAACAUGCUUAAAAAGAAAUUUAAGAGUGGCAAGAAGAUAAAUGAAAAGAAUAAGAAAAAAAAUUUUUUAAUUACAUUAAAGAAAAAAUUAAGGAAAAAAUACAACUUGAAAAAAUAAAAAUUGAAAAGAAUGAAAUAAGAAGAGAUUUUUUAAGGAGAAAAUGGGUGUAAUUAAAAUUACAAACAAGGAAAAAAGGUAAUGUCAAUAAGAAGUCUAUAAGAAGAAAAAAACAAAAAGAAGAAACAUGAAAUCUUCACAAAAAAGAAACUUAUUUUAAAAUUAUCUUUUAUGACUAUAAGUCAAAUGUUUAUAUGUAAAGUUUAUUUAUUAUUUAUAUAUUAAAUAGUGAGAUAUAUACUACAAUUUCUACUGAAUAGGAAUACAUUUUAUUACAUUCAAAUAAUGAUUAUUUGUAAUAAAAGUCUUUAAAGUGAUAGUUUUUGUAUUUGUAAUAUGUGAGACGUUCCUAACAUAAAAAGAUUAAUUUUUUACUAAUUGUUACAUAAAAAAUAAUUUAAACAUCUUUUUUUAAUAUCUUCCUUCUUCUUUCUUGUGUAAUAGUCUUAAAGCCUGUUUUUUCUCUCUUGCAUAUGUAUCUGUGAUGCGCAUGUAAAUUGUACAUAGACAUAUGGGACCUACAGUUUAAUGCUACCUUCGAAUAGUUAAGACAGAGAGAUCUUAUAGGCAUAGAGUACUCUUGAUGACUUGCUAUUCCAAUUAAGAGGAGAAACAAUUUUUGGUCUUGGCCGGGAUUGAACCCGAGAUCUUUGGUGUAACAGAUUAAUACGCUAUUCGCUACAGUCGUUGUUUUUAAUAUCAUUUGUCUUAAACGAGUAGAAAUCGGAACAUCGAUCUUAUCUUACAAUCAAUAAUGUUUGACACAUGAAAUAUUAAUCUGCAUCCAAAAUAUAUACACAGGAAUUUGUUUAUAGGUACAUGUAUUAAACUAAAAGCUUUUUUACAUAGUUUGGAUAAAAUGGCCACUGUAGUGACAACGAGCGCAAAAAGAAUCACACAAGUCAGAAAUAUACGGCAAGGGAGCGUGAUAGACAUAGACGCCGAUAUGUUUCUCAAGAUAUCCAAUUAUGAAGAUACCGUUAAACAACUGGAUAUAUAUUAUGGAAUCGUCAAGAGACAAUUACUGCGCUAUCAAAGUUGCAUUACUGGCUUGUUCCCGAAAAUUUCGAUUGAUCGAAACGUUGGCAGCGUGCGUGAAAGUAUAUAUUGUGCAGCUGCAAUAUGGAGUUUAUAUCAAGCAUAUAGACGUAUAGAUGAUGAUCGUGGAAAAUCGUAUGAGCUGGGACAAUCUGCGAUAAAAUGCAUGCGAGGUAUCUUAGAGUGUUGGAUAAAGCAAUCUUCCAGAAUAGAACUUUUUAAAAAAAAUCAAUGCGACCGUUAUGCAUUGCAUUGCAAAUUUCAUUUGGAUACUGGUGAUGAAAUCUAUAAAGAUGCUGAUUAUCAUCAUUUACAAAUCGACAUCGUGUCUCUUUAUCUGAUAUUCUUAGUACAAAUGAUUUCCUCUGGGCUACAAAUUAUAUAUACACAAGAUGAAGUUGCCUUUGUGCAAAACUUAGUAUAUUAUGUCGAAAGAGCAUACCGUACACCAGAUUACGGUAUGUGGGAACGUGGGAGUCGAUAUAACGAUGGAACGCCCGAAAUUCAUGCCAGCUCUAUUGGAAUUGCAAAAAGUGCAUUAGAAGCAAUUAAUGGUUGUAAUUUAUUUGGCGAAAAAGGUGCAUCUUGGUCCGUGAUAUAUGUUGAUAUUGAUGCACACAAUCGUAAUCGUAGUAUCUUUGAAACAAUGCUUCCAAGAGAAUCAAGUUCGAAAAGUGUAGAUGUAGCUUUGUUAUCAACAAUAUCUUUCCCUGCCUUUGCAACUCAUGAAGAGGUAUUGUACAACGAAACAAAAACGAACAUUGUCCACAGGUUAAAAGGCAAUUAUGGUUUUAAACGAUUUGGAAGGGAUGGUUAUAAAACAGUACUCGAGGACAAACAGCGACGUUAUUACAAAUCGGGAGAGAUUAAGGAUUUCGAGAAUAUCGAGUGUGAAUGGCCUUUGUUUUACAUUUUCAUGAUAAUAGAUGGUGUAUUCAAGAGUCUAUCGGAACAAGUGGAAGAGUAUCAAAAUUUAUUGAAAGCGAGAGUGCACAAGGAUUUGAAUGGAGAUCCAGUGAUUCCUAUGUACUACUAUGUGCCUAUGGAAAAUUUGGAAACUGAACGAAACGAGCCAUGUAGCACUUAUCGACUGCCUAGUGAGGAAGGAAGAAUUUCUAAGUCUGCAGAUCAAGAAACUCCAAUAUAUCUAUGGAAUCAAGCCAUGUUUGUAAUUGCACAGUUACUUACCGCUGGUCUUCUGCACAUUAAUGAAUUAGAUCCGAUUCGUCGAUAUCUUCCAUCUUAUAAUCGUCCGAGGCGAGCAGGAAGAUAUUCUGCUUUUCAGGCAAAGCCUACUAUUGGCACUCAUACCGACCUAGUUGUACAAAUAGUUUUGAUCGCAGAAUCUAUGCGAUUGCAAGCUAUGAUGGCAACAUAUGGCAUUCAGACGCAAACACCGCAUGAAGUCGAACCUGUUCAGAUUUUAUCAUCCACACAGCUUGUAAAAGUUUACGAAAAGUUAGGAGUGAAUAAGAAAUUGAAUCUCCAGGGACGACCCGCGCGACCUAUAGGCUCUUUAGGUACAAGCAAGAUGUAUAGAGUCUGUGGGAUGACAGUACUCUGUUAUCCUCUGAUCUUUGAAGUAUCCGAGUUUUAUUUGUACAGAGACAUGGCUCUGCUAAUUGAUGAUAUCAAAACAGAAUUGCAAUUCGUAGGCAAGUAUUGGCGUCUUUCUGGUCGACCCACUGUAUGUCUUUUAAUACGAGAGGAACACAUGCGAGCACUUGGAUUUCGUAAAUAUUAUGGAAACAGAUCUGGAUUUGACACAGUUUAAACAAUUGCAACAUGAUUAUAUUGGCUAUCAAAGUCUCACGGAUGUUCCAAAGGCCAUCACUUAUUCCGAAAGCGUUAAGGAUUAUUCUUAUAUGCUAAAGGAGUCUCUUGGCAACAUAUUAAACGAACUUCGCAAUAGCGUUGGCUUGUAUGCAAAGUGUCAAUUAUAUGGUAUUUUAAUGAAACGA